Long non-coding RNA from Chelonia mydas (Green sea turtle), 2058 nucleotides. RefSeq lists it as uncharacterized. NCBI's taxonomy places the organism in Eukaryota, Metazoa, Chordata, Testudines, Cheloniidae. The record is from RefSeq and is a predicted model, not a curated record. The transcript has 4 exons.
AAGUAAGACCUAUAUAAGCUAGGAAGCUGGCAACGGGGGCACUGCAGGCAUUCCCUGGGAGAAGAGAAGGUGUAUUCAGGAGUAUAGAGGGUAGUGCGUGGGUGCUCCCUGGGAGGAGGGAGGCUGACGGGGCGGAGCCAAGAAGGUGGGAGACAGUUCAGGGGAACAGUAGCAAGGAAUAGGAAUGCAGACCUUGGCUGCUGACUAGCGGCCCCUAAGACAGGACCCGGAGUAGAGGGUGGGCCUGGGUCCCCCUACCGGCUGCUGACCAAGUGGCACCAGCCCGGCAGUGAGCAGGAAGACUGCCUGAGCCCAUCUGUCAAGAGGGACUUUGUUACCCCUGGAAAGGGGAACAUGGGGUGACUCCGGCUGGAGGAGAGGCUGUGGUUCCUGGAGCAAGAGGGGCCUGUGGGAUGGGUAAGACAACACUGGAGGAGGGUGCAAUGCCUGGUCAGAUCUAAUCCCCAGAGCGCCCUGGCGGUGGCGCCACCAGUGAACUGUGAAAUGGGAAAGGAAAGGUCGUACUUCCAUCUGGGUGUGAUGAAGAUUAAUUCAGGAUUGGGCAGUGCUUUCAAUACGAAGUCAUGACCAUUCCGUCCCAUGACAGCAGCAACCACUCUUCUGAAAAAAGAAAUUGAUUAAAAGAAGCCAGAAGAUAAGACUUUUCAGAUGGAACCACUGGGAAGGGAGAGAAGAACAUUAGCAUUGUAGCCUGAGCUUUUCCGGUAUCCUAACUGAGACCUUUAUUCGUCCAUCUUACAUGUUCUGCUGUUCCUGGCUGGUGGCUGUAUGAAACCUACCAAGACAUCCGUAAGGGAGUUACGAGUGAUUCUCCUUGUAUUUAACAGUAGGUUUAUUAUUUGAUUGGCUUAUUUUUCUGGCUUGUUUUUAUUUUUUGUUUAUAUGUUGUAACACAACAUGGAGUAGUUGCAAAGAGAUGUAUACAACUGUAUUCUAGGCCAAAUGCAAGAUAUUCAGGAUAGGACUAUUUUGUUCCAUUUAGCGAAAAAGCAUCCCAUUUUGCAAAACCAUUUUAUUCUGCAGCACCAUCCUUUUCCCACCCGAAUCUUUAUCUUGACAAUAUACAGUCACUUACACGUCCAUGCUUACAGAUGUAAUCAAACAAUUCGCCACCAGAUACAUAUUCCAUUACCAUGAAAAAAUCCGUUGGAGUGCUGAUGACCUGGUAUCUUCAAAAACAAAAGAGAGAAUUUAGAAAGACUUGAUUAGUAACAACAGAGCAAGGUUUUUAAACAGUUUACUAUUAUAACUUCUUCUGUAAAAUAAACAUUUGUUUUGAUCUUGUGUAUAAACUUGCUUUCUAUAUAUGAAAAGCAAUUGCUUAUAUUUCGAGAUGCAAACAAAUAUAAUCUCUUUCAAUGGUCUGUUGAAAGCAUCUGUUUCACAAAUUCACUUCUUUAUUUCUUAAGCUUUUACAUAAUCCUCUGAAAUCUUUGCUACAUUAGUUUACCACACUUAGGACUAACCUGAUUUUCAAAUUUCCAUUUUGGCUAAGAUUUACAGCAAUGUUUUAAGAGAUUGCUGUAAAAGCAAAAAAGGAAUAUUAACCUUCCCCCCCCACCCCCUUUCUACUGAGGAUGCAGGAGAAAAGAACUCUAGGUACUAUAGGCAGGUAAAGUUUGAAUCUGUCCUAUUACACUCCAGUUUCUCAGCUAGUGUAAAUUGGCAUAACUUUAUUGACUUCAGUGAAGCUACAUAAAUUUAUAGCAACACCAGCUGAGGUUCACAACCAUUUUCUUGUACUCAGAUUUUGUGUUUGCACUGCUUAUAGUUGAAUUUGUGUUCUGUAUCAUUACACUAGAAGUGAACAAAUAACUUCCUGUCUUCUUAAAACUGCAUGUAAAUACAUCGUGUUCAGUAAAACCCGCAAAAGAUCAAUAAGGGUUAAUACACUUUAAAGUGGUUUGAGAUCCAGUAAACCAAAGUCUCUGAUAAUUCGUUACUGUGUACAGGGAAAAAAAUCAAAUAAAAUGGAAAGUAAAUGUAAUCCAUUCUCACUUCCUAAUUUUCUUUUAAUAUACCAUUUCAUGAUUCAAU